Molecule: ribosomal RNA, 253 nt
Filed under: uncultured prokaryote
Description: partial 16S ribosomal RNA
Rfam family: Bacterial small subunit ribosomal RNA
Source: RNAcentral
ACGGAGGGUGCAAGCGUUGUUCGGAUUUACUGGGCGUAAAGCGCGCGCAGGUGGGUGUGCAAGUCGGAAGUGAAAUCCCGGGGCUCAACUCCGGGGCUGCUUCCGAAACUGCACGUCUAGGGACUGGUAGAGGCUGGUAGAAUUCCCGGUGUAGCGGUGGAAUGCGUAGAUAUCGGGAGGAACACCUGUGGCGAAAGCGGCGCACUGGACCACAACUGACGCUGAGGCGCGAAAGCUAGGGGAGCAAACAGGA